Tribolium madens (black flour beetle) is the source of this 4913-nucleotide RNA transcript. It is a transcript of the gene named protein transport protein Sec16A, with no coding region annotated. The transcript has 17 exons. The record is from RefSeq and is a predicted model, not a curated record. Lineage: Eukaryota; Metazoa; Arthropoda; Insecta; Coleoptera; Tenebrionidae.
UGCCACGUCAAGGUUUUUAUUACACGUCCUCACGAAUAAAAAAUAAUAAAACAGACGAGAUAAACUGAUUAAAAUAUUUUUAUUCAAAACAUAUUUAUUACUAGUGUUUUGCCAACAUCGAAUAUUCCAUUGAAAAACAUAGGUUAUGUGUGUGAUAAUUUUUGUUGUGCUCGAAUAAAAAGUAUGUGCGAUUGUACCACAAUGGGAGGGUUUGCUACAGUUUGAGCCAUGUCCUGGGUCAAGAAACGGGGGCAGACGCCCAAUCCGGGGACCACUCCACAAGUCCCCAUGUAUAACCCCAAUCAACAUUCCAAUCAAGAGAAUCACUGGCAACAGCCCCCCAGACCGGACCAGAAUCCCAACUACUGGCAACAAAACUACCCUCAGAACCCCCAAAACUACUACAACAACACCUACCAGCAGCCCCCUUAUGGCAAUUUGCAAUACAACCAACAAUACUCUCAGAAUAACUUUGAGGGGGCGCCGAAUGAAGACACUUGGGGCUCCAAUUGGGGCUGGGGGGACGAAGACAACUCCAAUACUCAAGCCCCCAACAUUGCCGAGAGUUUCGCCAAGGACGAGGCUUGGAACUGGAAUUUGGACGAAGCGAAACCUAAACCGGAACCGGAAACGUCCAUUGAUCAUAUGACCGGAAAACGAAACAAACUCGAGACCCCCCAAUGGUCAGUGGAGUCUCAGAUGUCUCAAGAGUCCUCUGAUGAUGUUUUACAAACGUCAGAAAGUGAUAAAAGUCGGAUGCUGUCGCGGAGCUCUACAGUGUCACACUCGCCGAUUUCAGGCGACGUUGGGGGCCCCCAUGUCGAAAACAAGGAAAACUUGUCUCAGGAGGUGCGCCCCAAACCGGGGAAAUUUCCAGCAUUUCAAAGUGUCAAUCUCGAGUCGCCUCCUGACAAUUCCGAACAACCGGACCCGAUAAAGACUUCGCCCCCGUCACGUUUUGAAAACAACGAAGCCCCUAUUAAUGACCGAAACCAGUACCUUGAAACGGCCCAAUUGUCCGACGUUGAUUUUACAAGGGCCCCCGAGAGUCAUCCUCAGGAUGAUGUACAGCCCCCGCCGGGUUUGCGUCGCAUGGUGGGCGGAGCCGAGUCGAGUGAACCCCCCGAGGGUUUACGAAGGAUGAUUCCGGGCGAGUCGAGUUCACCCGAAACUAGUCUACGACCAAAUCCGAGUUCCGAAAGAUCGGAAACGAUCGGAGCCGAUUCAGUUGAGGUCCCAAAAGUCGAUGAUGGAGUGGGGGGGUUGGUGUCUUCGGUCCGGAAUUUGACAGUGGGGGAUGAGGAUGAGACGAAUGAGGGGAGUGGGCGGAGACACAGUCGGGAAAGUUCGGAAAGUGAGCACGAGAGGCGGUCCAAAUCGCCGAGAAGGGAUCGCAGGAGGGAGAAAGAUGAUCGAGAGAGAGAGAGGAAUAGGGGGCGGUAUUCACCCGAUAGGAGGGAUAAAAGGCGGUACAAAGGACGGUACGAGGAGGAGUCGGAUUAUUACAGUGAUAAGGAGAAGGAUAGGAGACAUGAAAGGGAUUACGAUAGGAAAUAUAAUAGUUUGAGGAAGGAGAAGGAUAAGGAUAGGAGAAGAAGGGAUUAUGAGAGGCCGAAAAAGGAUUAUUAUUACGGGAGAUAUGAGGAUGAUUUUGAAAAUGAAUCAAGGUCGAGGGCAUCAAGUCGAUCCGAUUCCAUGCAUGAGUCGUAUCGGGAGAGAGGGCAUGAUCGGAGGGAUCGAAGGCAUAAAGAGAGGGAGAGGCAUAAGAGACGCAUGGACCCGUUUAAUCCCUACAAUCAGGCUUUCGGCUUUGACAUCUACAGCCAGUACUACCAACAAUACCACUACUACGAGAACUUGCGCAAGACGAAUCCUCAAGCCUACGCCCAGCUCUACCGCAAAUACUAUCAGGAGGCGUCUGGUGAAGCUCCUUACGGUACUGAAGACCGCGCUUCAGUGCAUUCAGGUCGCAGUUCUGCCAACGACGAACUAGUCAAAGACAGGUAUACGCGUCAGAGCUAUUAUAGUCAAACGAGUUUGCCACACUUAGGAGCUUACUACAGAGGAUCUCAAACACAUAGUAUAUCGGGUCAAUAUGGCCUCGAUGACUCUAGUUUUGUGCGCACUCUUGAUCAGACCGACACCUCAUUAAAUUACGAAGAUCCGAAUUUGACAGCUCAACGUUUAACACCAGCCAAAUUUGCAACAGCUCACAUUAAAGCUUCCAUAAAUUGUGGUAAAAUGGUGAAAAUUCUUCCACACUAUCCACUUGAUGGUCAAGCAUCAACUGUUGAAUUGUGUAGUUUAGAAAAUUUUCUCUACAAUGAUGAAGACUAUCAAGAGUUGAAACGUUUUCCUGGACCACUAGCCAAAGGAACGACACAUAAAAAAACAAUCAUUGAAUAUUGCGAAAAUAAAAUAAAAAAUGCCGUUUUUAAUCAUAUUAGUGAUAAGGAAUCUUAUAUUUUAAUGUGGGAAUUGUUGAUUUUGUUAAUAAGACAAAAUGGGAUGGUUGUGGGUGCUGAUAUUGCAGAAUUGUUGUUAAAGAAUCGGACACAAGAUGGCGCUCAAAGGGCGCCAUCUGUCAUCUCGAGUAUUGGUAGUAAUACAGUUGAGGGCGAAACAAAUGAAAAUCAACCAAUCGCAGCAUUGAAGGAAGAGGAAAUUACGAAUAAAUUCCGCGAUUAUUUGCUCUACGGAUCGGUCAAGGAGGCUUUGGAGUGGGCUAUGAAGCACGGCCUUUGGGGCCACGCCCUUUUCCUGGCUAGCAAAUUAGACAAGCGAACUUACGCCAAUGUUUUAAUGCGAUUCGCUAACGGAUUGGCUAUGAACGACCCUCUCCAAACUCUCUACCAAUUGUUGUCGGGUCGUACGCCGGCUGCUGUCACCUGCGUUGCUGAUGAAAAGUGGGGUGAUUGGCGCCCCCAUCUCGCCAUGAUUUUGUCGAAUUCGACUGAAAGGCCUGAAGUGAAUUGUAAGGCUAUUACAGUCCUGGGUGAUACUCUUAUGGGGCGUGGUAGUUUAUACGCCGCCCAGUUUUGUUAUUUAAUGGCAGAAGUUGGCUUUGGACGGUAUGGGUGUGCCGAAUCAAAGUUGGUACUACUGGGAUCUAAUCAUAAUCACGCUUUUGGCAAGUUUGCAACCAAUGAAGCGAUUCAUAUGACGGAGAUUUACGAAUAUGCACGAAGUUUGAACGAUGAUGAGUUCUCAUUGGUUAAUUUUCAACGUUUUAAAUAUUUGCUAUCGACGCGAUUGGCUGAUGUUGGGUUGUUGGAAAAAUCGCUGUCAUAUUUGGAAAAAAUCGCCAUUUUUAUUGUGAAAAAUCCGACAAGUGUCGAUAUUGGAUUGGUUGAUGAUGUGACGCGAUUGGCCGAUCGUUUGAAAUACUAUGAUCCAGUAGGCGUCGGCGAUGGUGAUUUUGACACCAGUCGACUUGAUCAUUCCUGGUUGGAGGAUUUGAAACGUGUUCAAAACGAUCUCAAUGUUGGUCAUAUUGCACAACAAGGUGGUGCGUGUUCUACUUUACCAACCCAAAUUAAUGAUCAAAUUUAUUCACACAAUCAAGAUAGCUGGCAACAGCAACAAUACGAUCAGUACCAACAACAACAAUGGAAUCCGGAACCGGUUGAACCGCCGGUACAACAGGAAACAAAUGAAAGUUUAGGUUUUAAUAAUUAUCAAGAACAACAACAAUAUUGGACGGGACAACAACAAUGGAAUGAACAGCCGAUAUUACAGGAAACUGUAAAUCAACAACAACAACAAAACUAUUAUGGUGCUGCUCAAACCGAGGAUAUUCCACAACCGCAAAUCUCGCUCCCCAAUCAACGCGAAGCGGCACAAAAGUCCGACAGUGUACCCACUGAACCGAAAAAAGAAGUAACCAAACCGAAAACUACAGAAGCAGUUCAGGACAAGCAAAGCGGUUGGUUUGGUGGUAUUUUUAAUAAGUUAACCUUGAAACCGAAGAAUCAAAUGAAACUACCCGAUGAUAAAAACCCAACGAUUUUGUGGGAUUCGGAGAAAAAACGAUGGGUGAAUACCGAUGAGGAUAACGGAGACGGCGCAAAUGACUUUAAACCGCCCCCUAAAAUGGCCGAAAUGGCACCAGUGCAGCCAACUUACCACCCACAAGCACAAAAACCAGUGGAACCAACGCAGGAAAAUGGAAAUGCCCCGAAACCACCACAACCCACACAACCCAAUAUGUUCAAGUUGCAGAAAAAUAGAAACAUCAAAAAAUCCUACAUCGACGUGUUCAACCCGGCCGGCAAGCCGGCUCAAAGCGUUGCCGCUCCCGCGCCGCUAGGUGGCGCUCCGCAUGCCCAGCCGCCUAUGAAUUUUUUUAUUCCUCAACCGGUCAAUGACCCCAACGCGCCAACCGAUUUUCUGACACCAUCGCCACCCAUGCAGUUCAAUAAUGACACACAGCGGGGGAAAUUUAACAAAUGAAAAAUCUUAAGUAAGAUUUUGUUUUUUGUGCAUGAUGCUGCAUGAAAGCAUGGUGCAUCACACUGUAUAUAUUUUGGUUUAAGUGGCGCACACUGCUUUUUUUGAAAUUUUGUGGUUGUGUGGUUUUUAUGUGAGGUUAUGGUAGAUGUCUAGGUGGAGUUCGGCUAGUUCACUGUCAAGGGAGGUUCAGUCCUAUACAAUGCAUAAACCAAUCCGCAGAUAGCUUUUGCUCUUUUGACGCUUGCUUCAUUUCCAUCAAAUGGCGCAGUAAGCACUGGAAAGGGAUGGAAUUUGUCAAACAAGGCCGUUUUGUAAUUUUAUCCUACAUUUAAUCGAUCCUGUGAUCAUGGUGUUUAAUAUUGUAGUUUUAAUUAAUUUUAUUGAACAUUGAUUAUGUCAUAGAGAGACAAUAUGAAUAUCGGAGUGUAAGAAUUGUAAGGGAAUAAAGAUAUGAACAUUGA